RNAcentral lists this ribosomal RNA (473 nucleotides) under uncultured bacterium. RNAcentral's name for it is "bacterial SSU rRNA". It matches the Rfam family "Bacterial small subunit ribosomal RNA", at positions 335 to 798 of the family's 1533-position model. The record is from RNAcentral.
ACUCCUACGGGAGGCAGCAGUGGGGAAUUUUGGACAAUGGGCGCAAGCCUGAUCCAGCCAUUCCGCGUGCAGGAUGAAGGCCCUCGGGUUGUAAACUGCUUUUGUACGGAACGAAAAGGCUCUGGUUAAUACCCGGGGCUCAUGACGGUACCGUAAGAAUAAGCACCGGCUAACUACGUGCCAGCAGCCGCGGUAAUACGUAGGGUGCAAGCGUUAAUCGGAAUUACUGGGCGUAAAGCGUGCGCAGGCGGUGAUGUAAGACAGAGGUGAAAUCCCCGGGCUCAACCUGGGAACUGCCUUUGUGACUGCAUCGCUGGAGUACGGCAGAGGGGGAUGGAAUUCCGCGUGUAGCAGUGAAAUGCGUAGAUAUGCGGAGGAACACCGAUGGCGAAGGCAAUCCCCUGGGCCUGUACUGACGCUCAUGCACGAAAGCGUGGGGAGCAAACAGGAUUAGAUACCCUGGUAGCGUCGUC